AUUGAGCGCUGGCGGCAGGCUUAACACAUGCAAGUCGAGCGGGGUGAUGGUGCUUGCACUAUCACUUAGCGGCGGACGGGUGAGUAAUGCUUAGGAAUCUGCCUAUUAGUGGGGGACAACAUCUCGAAAGGGAUGCUAAUACCGCAUACGUCCUACGGGAGAAAGCAGGGGAUCACUUGUGACCUUGCGCUAAUAGAUGAGCCUAAGUCGGAUUAGCUAGUUGGUGGGGUAAAGGCCUACCAAGGCGACGAUCUGUAGCGGGUCUGAGAGGAUGAUCCGCCACACUGGGACUGAGACACGGCCCAGACUCCUACGGGAGGCAGCAGUGGGGAAUAUUGGACAAUGGGGGGAACCCUGAUCUAGCCAUGCCGCGUGUGUGGAGAAGGCCUUAUGGUUGUAAAGCACUUUAAGCGAGGAGGAGGCUCUUUUGGUUAAUACCCAAGAUGAGUGGACGUUACUCGCAGAAUAAGCACCGGCUAACUCUGUGCCAGCAGCCGCAGUAA
This 503-nucleotide ribosomal RNA is filed under the name uncultured bacterium. Its description in RNAcentral is "partial 16S ribosomal RNA". It matches the Rfam family "Bacterial small subunit ribosomal RNA", at positions 30 to 523 of the family's 1533-position model. The record is from RNAcentral.